GGGGACGUAAAUGGUUUCGACGGGGAUCGCGGAGGUCGGAUAAGCGAGCCGAAGCCCCGAGCUUCGAUAAAAUCGGGAAAUUCUAAAUUUAACUGGCGAAACUAAUAAUUUUGCUAUCGCUGCGUAAAUAGCGGCGAUCGUCCGCCGUGCGUUGCCCACGACAUGCGAUACGGGCGUCAUUAAUGUGGGGAACCGACCUGCCUAAGCUUUGCGGCAGGCGAGAUACAUGAAGCUACCGAGAGCAUGAGCCCGCCUUUGGGCGCUUGCUUGAGGGAAGGACAAAACGAAGGCUACGCUCGUAGAAAGUCCUUCUGACGGGUUUUCGGACAGGGGUUCGACUCCCCUCGUCUCCACCA
RNAcentral lists this transfer-messenger RNA (356 nucleotides) under Clostridiales bacterium. It matches the Rfam family "transfer-messenger RNA". Rfam says of the family: Bacterial tmRNA, also known as 10Sa RNA or SsrA, is named for its dual tRNA and mRNA-like properties. Its role is to liberate the mRNA from a stalled ribosome. RNAcentral also lists the same sequence under 4 other names. The record is from RNAcentral. Lineage: Bacteria; Bacillati; Bacillota; Clostridia; Eubacteriales.